This 789-nucleotide long non-coding RNA is filed under the name Mytilus galloprovincialis (Mediterranean mussel). Lineage: Eukaryota; Metazoa; Mollusca; Bivalvia; Mytilida; Mytilidae. The record is from RNAcentral.
GGCUUGUAUUCGUAUGUAGACAUUCGUCUAUCUGUAAAGAGGGUUUUGCGACUGUUACUUUGAUGCCAUUUAAACAAUGAUGUACAGAAUAGAAACCAAACGUUGUCUACCACUACCAGUUUCAGAUAUAACACGACUUAAAAAUUUUAGAAUAAUGAAAAAAUUGAUAUUACAUUACAUGUAUUUCUUAAUACUUAAAAUUUGGUCCAGUACUGAGCGAAAUUUGUCCUAUCUGACUCUUUCAUACUUUUUUUUUCAUGAGUUCAAUUUGUUAACGAAUUAUCCUUAUUUAUCAGCAGUAAGCUAAACUAGUAGUUGAUUAUCUUUCCAAACUGUAAUGAAACGGUAAGGAAUAUUUUUCUUGGCACUGUCAUUAACUUCGUAUGUCUUAGCGCAUGCUCUAAAAUUAACUUCGUAUGUCUUAGCGCAUGCUCUGAAAUUAACGUCGUCUGAGUACAACUUAACAUCCCAGUCAACAAAUGAUUGUGUAGAUUUAAGGUAUAUUCAUCUCUAGCAUACAUGUAUAUUAUACGCUUGGCCACACACUGUUAAAAUUCCGUUAUCGUCAUCUUAUACAAGAAUAUCACCCCUGCCCUAUGCAAGCCUUUUCUCCGAACAAAGCCGAAAAAGCUGAUUAGCGUACGUGUGGAGAAACCGAUAAACUUCCGAUUAACGAAAGUAUUUUGCAGCAAAACAAAACAAAAAUAAACUUAAAACUCGGAGCAAUAUUCUGAAUAUUUCAAAAGAUGCAUACAAAACACAUCAUUUCAAAGUAAAACACCAUUCAGG